RNAcentral lists this ribosomal RNA (162 nucleotides) under Ainsworthia trachycarpa. Its description in RNAcentral is "5.8S ribosomal RNA". It matches the Rfam family "5.8S ribosomal RNA". From Rfam's summary of the family: 5.8S ribosomal RNA (5.8S rRNA) is a component of the large subunit of the eukaryotic ribosome. It is transcribed by RNA polymerase I as part of the 45S precursor that also contains 18S and 28S rRNA. Lineage: Eukaryota; Viridiplantae; Streptophyta; Magnoliopsida; Apiales; Apiaceae. The record is from RNAcentral.
GACGACUCUCGACAACGGAUAUCUCGGCUCUCGCAUCGAUGAAGAACGUAGCGAAAUGCGAUACUUGGUGUGAAUUGCAGAAUCCCGUGAACCAUCGAGUCUUUGAACGCAAGUUGCGCUCGAGGCCAUUAGGCUGAGGGCACGUCUGCCUGGGUGUCACGU